RNAcentral lists this long non-coding RNA (301 nucleotides) under Elaeis guineensis (African oil palm). RNAcentral's name for it is "long non-coding RNA (EGUI_LNC039445)". Lineage: Eukaryota; Viridiplantae; Streptophyta; Magnoliopsida; Arecales; Arecaceae. The record is from RNAcentral.
AUUACUUCGCUACUCAAAUCAUCUAAUCUAAAUAAUUUAGAUCUAAUCUAAAUUAUUUCAAAUCUGAUUAUUAUAUUUUGAUCAUAGUAAAAUUAAAUAAUAAUUAUUAUAAAUAAAUUUUAUAUAUUUUAAAUUAAAAUCAAAUUUUAUGAAGAUCAGUAUAAACUAGGACAACUUUGCACUGUAAGGGAUAAACCUUACAGCAGGACAACCUUAUAUCAAUUUGUACGAUUAAAUCUAUAACUAAUUUUAGAUCUAAAUAUUAUACAUUAAAACUAAUCUAAAUUAAAUUAUAAAUCUA